UACAGAGGUCCCAAGCGUUGUUCGGAUUCAUUGGGCGUAAAGUGUGCGCAGGCGGCCGCGCAAGUCGAGUGUGAAAGCCCCGAGCUUAACUUGGGAAUUGCGCUCGAAACUACGUGGCUGGAGUGUGGCAGAGGAAGGUGGAAUUCCACGUGUAGCGGUGAAAUGCGUAGAGAUGUGGAGGAACACCGAUGGCGAAGGCAGCCUUCUGGGCCAACACUGACGCUCAUGCACGAAAGCGUGGGGAGCAAACAGG
This 253-nucleotide ribosomal RNA is filed under the name uncultured bacterium. RNAcentral describes it as "partial 16S ribosomal RNA". It matches the Rfam family "Bacterial small subunit ribosomal RNA", at positions 524 to 776 of the family's 1533-position model. The record is from RNAcentral.